This 729-nucleotide long non-coding RNA is filed under the name Fukomys damarensis (Damara mole-rat). RNAcentral describes it as "lncRNA (ENSFDAG00000026047.1)". The record is from RNAcentral. Lineage: Eukaryota; Metazoa; Chordata; Mammalia; Rodentia; Bathyergidae.
GGAGAUUUAUUAUUAUAAUUGCUGUGAUGAGUAGUGAGACAUCAGUUAUGCACCUCAAAUAAAGCUUGAGUUUGUCGAACUCUGGAAAUUAAUAUAGUAGGCAGUGGGUAACUACCAUUAGACAGAAAUAUGCAAAGGCUGCUCCAGUUCAUUACUACACGUCUAUGAGUGUCCUGGAAGAGUAGAGCAGAGAAGGUGCGGAACUGCCCCACCGUUCUGGCUCUUUAAUGAGAAUUACACAGGCCGACUGCACAAUGGCUGAUCCAAGGAGAACUGUGGUCAACUUGUACAUUUAGAAGAGGAGAACCAGGAACACUGAUAUACCUUCUAUUGGCUCUCUUUCUUUGGAGAAUUCUAAUAUAUAUUCGGACUCUGCCUCGGAUGCUCUUUCUGUGGCUGCCCCCCCACCGUCCUGCAUCUCUGCGUUCCUCUUUGAAUUGAUACACACUGAUGGAAAGAAACUACGUGUGAGUUGGACUUCACACUCUGAAAUUCAAAUCCAGCAGGCCAAAAGUGAAACAAACGCCAGGAGGGCUGUCUGGGCCCGGAUGCACUGCAGGUGAAGGAUAGCCACGCCCUCUUCCGCGGAGCCGCCAUCUCUCCAGCGCCAGAAAGGUAUCUGCUCGGCGCCCCUGAGACCCUCACAACUCCCGUAAGUCGCCCCCCCUGCACUUUCAGACCUCCUGAUUGUGCCAGUCUUUGGACCCACUCUGCAGAGGCACAGGUGGU